RNAcentral lists this ribosomal RNA (635 nucleotides) under Janibacter limosus. Its description in RNAcentral is "bacterial SSU rRNA". It matches the Rfam family "Bacterial small subunit ribosomal RNA", at positions 61 to 707 of the family's 1533-position model. Lineage: Bacteria; Bacillati; Actinomycetota; Actinomycetes; Micrococcales; Intrasporangiaceae. The record is from RNAcentral.
GUCGAACGGUGAAGCUCCAGCUUGCUGGAGUGGAUCAGUGGCGAACGGGUGAGUAACACGUGAGCAACCUGCCCCAAACUCUGGAAUAAGCGCUGGAAACGGCGUCUAAUACUGGAUACGAGACCAACCUGCAUGGGUAUGGUUUGGAAAGUUUUUCGGUUUGGGAUGGGCUCGCGGCCUAUCAGCUUGUUGGUGAGGUAAUGGCUCACCAAGGCGACGACGGGUAGCCGGCCUGAGAGGGCGACCGGCCACACUGGGACUGAGACACGGCCCAGACUCCUACGGGAGGCAGCAGUGGGGAAUAUUGCACAAUGGGCGAAAGCCUGAUGCAGCGACGCCGCGUGAGGGAUGACGGCCUUCGGGUUGUAAACCUCUUUCAGCAGGGAAGAAGCGAAAGUGACGGUACCUGCAGAAGAAGCACCGGCUAACUACGUGCCAGCAGCCGCGGUAAUACGUAGGGUGCGAGCGUUGUCCGGAAUUAUUGGGCGUAAAGAGCUUGUAGGCGGUUUGUCGCGUCUGCUGUGAAAAUCCGGGGCUCAACCCCGGACUUGCAGUGGGUACGGGCAGACUAGAGUGUGGUAUGGGAGACUGGAAUUCCUGGUGUAGCGGUGAAAUGCGCAGAUAUCAGGAGGAAC